This 372-nucleotide unclassified non-coding RNA is filed under the name soil metagenome. RNAcentral's name for it is "partial contains 5.8S ribosomal RNA, internal transcribed spacer 2, and large subunit ribosomal RNA". The stretch from base 1 to 120 matches the Rfam family "5.8S ribosomal RNA", at positions 35 to 154 of the family's 154-position model. The record is from RNAcentral.
GAUGAAGAACGCAUCGAAAUGCGAUAAGUAAUGUGAAUUGCAGAAUUCAGUGAAUCAUCGAAUCUUUGAACGCACAUUGCGCCCGGCAGCAAUCUGCCGGGCAUGCCUGUCCGAGCGUCAUUUCUUCCCUCGAGCGCGGCUAGCCCUACGGGGCCUGCCGUCGCCCGGUGUUGGGGCUCUACGGGUGGGGCUCGUCCCCCCCGCAGUCCCCGAAAUGUAGUGGCGGUCCAGCCGCGGCGCCCCCUGCGUAGUAGAUCCUACAUCUCGCAUCGGGUCCCGGCGAAGGCCAGCCGUCGAACCUUUUAUUUCAUGGUUUGACCUCGGAUCAGGUAGGGUUACCCGCUGAACUUAAGCAUAUCAAUAAGCGGAGGA